GCCCAAAAGAGAGAAAGAGAAACAUGUGUACAUGUGGAUAAUGAACCACAUGAUACAUAUGUAUUUGUGGAUAGUGAAAUUUGUAUUUGUGGAUACAUGAUACAUUUGUAUAUACAUGAUAAUGAACCAUGUGUAUACAUGAUACAUAUGUAUUUGUGGAUAGUGAAAUUUGUUUAAAUAUAGAUAAUGAAAAUAUAUGUGCAUCUCUAUGCUAUUGACUGUAUAUAUGUUGAAAUAUAUUAA
This 243-nucleotide long non-coding RNA is filed under the name Brassica napus (rape). RNAcentral's name for it is "long non-coding RNA (BNAP_LNC014059)". Lineage: Eukaryota; Viridiplantae; Streptophyta; Magnoliopsida; Brassicales; Brassicaceae. The record is from RNAcentral.